Molecule: ribosomal RNA, 440 nt
Filed under: uncultured bacterium
Lineage: Bacteria
Description: partial 16S ribosomal RNA
Rfam family: Bacterial small subunit ribosomal RNA
Source: RNAcentral
CCUACGGGGGGCAGCAGUGGGGAAUAUUGCACAAUGGGGGAAACCCUGAUGCAGCGACGCCGCGUGAGUGAAGAAGUAUUUCGGGAUGUAAAGCUCUGUCAGCAGGGAAGAAAAUGACGGUACCUGACCAAGAAGCCACGGCUAACUACGUGCCAGCAGCCGCGGUAAUACGUAGGGGGCAAGCGUUAUCCGGAUUUACUGGGUGUAAAGGGAGCGUAGACGGCAGGGCAAGUCUGGAGUGAAAGGCGGGGGCUCAAACCCCGGACUGCUCUGGAUACUGCCAGGCUGGAGUGCAGGAGAGGUAAGUGGAAUUCCUAGUGUAGCGGUGAAAUGCGUAGAUAUUAGGAAGAACACCAGUGGUGAAGGCGGCUUACUGGACUGUAACUGACGUUGAGGCUCGAAAGCGUGGGGAGCAAACAGGAUUAGAUACCCUUGUAGUC